AGUGAACGCUGGCGGUAGGCCUAACACAUGCAAGUCGAACGGCAGCACAGUAAGAGCUUGCUCUUACGGGUGGCGAGUGGCGGACGGGUGAGGAAUACAUCGGAAUCUACUUUUUCGUGGGGGAUAACGUAGGGAAACUUACGCUAAUACCGCAUACGCCCUACGGGUGAAAGCAGGGGAUAUUCGGACCUUGCGCGAUUGAAUUAGCCGAUGUCGGAUUAGCUAGUUGGCGGGGUAAAGGCCCACCAAGGCGAGGAUCCGUAGCUGGUCUGAGAGGAUGAUCAGCCACACUGGAACUGAGACACGGUCCAGACUCCUACGGGAGGCAGCAGUGGGGAAUAUUGGACAAUGGGCGCAAGCCUGAUCCAGCCAUCCCGCGUGGGUGAAGAAGGCCUUCGGGUUGUAAAGCCCUUUUGUUGGGAAAGAAAAGCAGCAGGUUAAUACCACGCUGUUCUGACGGUACCCAAAGAAUAAGCACCGGCUAACUUCGUG
RNAcentral lists this ribosomal RNA (492 nucleotides) under uncultured bacterium. RNAcentral describes it as "partial 16S ribosomal RNA". It matches the Rfam family "Bacterial small subunit ribosomal RNA", at positions 29 to 507 of the family's 1533-position model. The record is from RNAcentral.